AUGAGGCUCCUGGGUCUUCUCCUGUGCCUGGUCACAGCUCCCCAAGGGGAGUGUGUCCUGGGUCAGGUGCAGCUGCAGGAGUCAGGACCUGGCCUGGUGAAGCCCUCGCAGACCCUGUCCCUCACCUUUACUGUGUCUGGUUACUCCAUCUCUAGUGGUUACUGCUGGCACUGGAUCCGUCAGCCCCCAGGCAAGGGGCUGGAGUGGAUAGGGUACAUAAAUAGUGGUGGUGGCACUAACUACAGCCCAUCCCUCAAGAACCGAGUGUCCAUCUCCAGAGACACGUCCAAGAACCACUUCUCCCUGCAGCUGAGCUCCCUGACCACCCAGGACACGGCCACCUAUUACUGUGCCAGAGACACAGUGAGGGGACCUCAGUGUGAGCCCUGACACAAACCUCCCUGCAGGGAGCCCAGGGCCAGCAGGGGGCGCUCAGCA
This is a non-coding RNA of Sciurus carolinensis (gray squirrel), 438 nucleotides long. Lineage: Eukaryota; Metazoa; Chordata; Mammalia; Rodentia; Sciuridae. The record is from the annotation of a RefSeq genome assembly.